GCGCCUUGCCAGCCCGCUCAGAAACUCAAAGGAAUUGACGGGGGCCCGCACAAGCGGAGGAGCAUGUGGUUUAAUUCGAUGAUACGCGAGGAACCUUACCUGGGCUCGAACGUAAGAUGACUGUAGGUGAAAGCUUACAUCUCUUCGGAGCGUUUUACGAGGUGCUGCAUGGUUGUCGUCAGCUCGUGCCGUGAGGUGUCGGGUUAAGUCCCAUAACGAGCGCAACCCCUACCUUUAGUUGCCAUCAGGUUAAGCUGGGGACUCUAAAGGAACUGCCUACGCAAGUAGUGAGGAAGCGGGGAUGACGUCAAAUCAGCACGGCCCUUACGUCCAGGGCUACACACGUGCUACAAUGGCCGAUACAGAGGGCAGCUACCUGGUGACAGGAUGCAAAUCUCCAAAGUCGGUCUCAGUUCGGAUCGGAGUCUGCAACCCGACUCCGUGAAGUUGGAUUCGCUAGUAAUCGCGCAUCAGCCAUGGCGCGGUGAAUACGUUCCCGGGCCUU
Molecule: ribosomal RNA, 505 nt
Filed under: uncultured Sphingobacteriales bacterium
Lineage: Bacteria; Pseudomonadati; Bacteroidota; Sphingobacteriia; Sphingobacteriales
Description: bacterial SSU rRNA
Rfam family: Bacterial small subunit ribosomal RNA
Source: RNAcentral